RNAcentral lists this ribosomal RNA (253 nucleotides) under uncultured bacterium. RNAcentral's name for it is "partial 16S ribosomal RNA". It matches the Rfam family "Bacterial small subunit ribosomal RNA", at positions 524 to 776 of the family's 1533-position model. The record is from RNAcentral.
UACGUAGGGUGCAAGCGUUAAUCGGAAUUACUGGGCGUAAAGCGAGCGCAGGCGGUUAUGUAAGACAGAUGUGAAAUCCCCGGGCUUAACCUGGGAACUGCAUUUGUGACUGCAUAGCUAGAGUGUGUCAGAGGGGGGUGGAAUUCCACGUGUAGCAGUGAAAUGCGUAGAGAUGUGGAGGAACACCGAUGGCGAAGGCAGCCCCCUGGGAUAACACUGACGCUCAUGCUCGAAAGCGUGGGGAGCAAACAGG